UGGAAUGUUUUUUAUCUAAAAAGCAUUGCUAAAGGAUAAGUUGGCGGUGAAUUAGGUUGUUGGUGAGGUAAAGGCUCACCAAGCCAAAAAUCCAUAGGGGCCUUGAAAGAGGUACCCCCAAGAAGGACACUGAAAUACUGGUCCUACCCCUACGGGGUGCACCACCCGCAAAACCUUUACAAUGCACGCAGGUGUGAUAAGGGACCCCCAGGUGCUCUUGCUUAGCAUGGUUUUUUGCCAAAAGUAAAUAUCUUGGCAAAUAAAUGGGGGGAAAAACUGGUGCCAGCACCCGCGGUACCACCACCGCCAUGAGUUGCAAUCAAAAUUAUUGGGCCUAAACCGUCCGUAGCCUGUUUGAUAAUUCUUUUGUGAAAUCGUUGGGCUUAACUUAACGUUGUGCAAAAAAUACUGUCAAACUCGCAACCGGUAGGAGUCGGAGGUAUUCUUGGGGGAGCGGUAAAAUGCUAUAAUCCCUAAAAAACCACCUGUGGCGAAAGCGUCCAACUAGAACGGCUUCGACGGUGAGGAACAAAAGCCAGGGGAGCGAACCGAAUUAAAUACCCGGGUAGUCCUGGCCGUAAACGCUGCAAGCAAGGUGUCCCAUAUCCUCCGUGAAUGUGCGGUGUCAAAAUGAAAAUGUUAAGCUCGCCGCCUGGGAAGUAUGGCCGCAAGGCUGACACUCAAAGGAAUUGACGG
Molecule: ribosomal RNA, 696 nt
Filed under: uncultured euryarchaeote
Lineage: Archaea; Methanobacteriati; Methanobacteriota
Description: partial 16S ribosomal RNA
Rfam family: Archaeal small subunit ribosomal RNA
Source: RNAcentral